GAUAAGGAGCUUGCUCCUUUGACGUUAGCGGCGGACGGGUGAGUAACACGUGGAUAACCUACCUAUAAGACUGGGAUAACUUCGGGAAACCGGAGCUAAUACCGGAUAACAUAUUGAACCGCAUGGUUCAAUAGUGAAAGGCGGCUUUGCUGUCACUUAUAGAUGGAUCCGCGCCGUAUUAGCUAGUUGGUAAGGUAACGGCUUACCAAGGCAACGAUACGUAGCCGACCUGAGAGGGUGAUCGGCCACACUGGAACUGAGACACGGUCCAGACUCCUACGGGAGGCAGCAGUAGGGAAUCUUCCGCAAUGGGCGAAAGCCUGACGGAGCAACGCCGCGUGAGUGAUGAAGGUCUUCGGAUCGUAAAACUCUGUUAUCAGGGAAGAACAAAUGUGUAAGUAACUGUGCACAUCUUGACGGUACCUGAUCAGAAAGCCACGGCUAACUACGUGCCAGCAGCCGCGGUAAUACGUAGGUGGCAAGCGUUAUCCGGAAUUAUU
This 500-nucleotide ribosomal RNA is filed under the name Staphylococcus aureus. Its description in RNAcentral is "bacterial SSU rRNA". It matches the Rfam family "Bacterial small subunit ribosomal RNA", at positions 70 to 555 of the family's 1533-position model. Lineage: Bacteria; Bacillati; Bacillota; Bacilli; Caryophanales; Staphylococcaceae. The record is from RNAcentral.